UACGAAGGGGGCAAGCGUUGCUCGGAAUCACUGGGCGUAAAGCGUACGUAGGCGGGUCGUUAAGUCAGAGGUGAAAUCCUGGAGCUCAACUCCAGAACUGCCUUUGAUACUGGCGACCUUGAGUUCGAGAGAGGUUGGUGGAACUGCGAGUGUAGAGGUGAAAUUCGUAGAUAUUCGCAAGAACACCAGUGGCGAAGGCGGCCAACUGGCUCGAUACUGACGCUGAGGUACGAAAGCGUGGGGAGCAAACAGG
Molecule: ribosomal RNA, 253 nt
Filed under: uncultured bacterium
Lineage: Bacteria
Description: partial 16S ribosomal RNA
Rfam family: Bacterial small subunit ribosomal RNA
Source: RNAcentral